RNAcentral lists this ribosomal RNA (469 nucleotides) under uncultured bacterium. RNAcentral's name for it is "partial 16S ribosomal RNA". It matches the Rfam family "Bacterial small subunit ribosomal RNA", at positions 28 to 507 of the family's 1533-position model. The record is from RNAcentral.
GACGAACGCUGGCGGCGUGCUUAACACAUGCAAGUCGAACGGAAAGGCCCUGCUUGCAGGGUGCUCGAGUGGCGAACGGGUGAGUAACACGUGGGUGAUCUGCCCCUUAUUUUGGGAUAAGCCUGGGAAACUGGGUCUAAUACUGGAUAGGACCAUGCUGUAGGUGGUGUGGUGGAAAGAUUAGUUUCGGUAAGGGAUGAGCUCGCGGCCUAUCAGCUUGUUGGUGGGGUAAUGGCCUACCAAGGCGUCGACGGGUAGCCGGCCUGAGAGGGUGGACGGCCACAUUGGGACUGAGAUACGGCCCAGACUCCUACGGGAGGCAGCAGUGGGGAAUAUUGCACAAUGGGCGCAAGCCUGAUGCAGCGACGCCGCGUGGGGGAUGACGGCCUUCGGGUUGUAAACUCCUUUCAGCCAUGACGAAGCCCUUGCGGUGACGGUAGUGGUAGAAGAAGCACCGGCUAACUACGUG